GGCCAAGGAUCAAACCUGUAUUCUCGUGGAUACUAGUUGGGUUCUUAAUCUGCUGAGCCACAACAGGAGCUCCAUAUUCUUAAUUUUUAAAGGAAACUAUUUUUUCAUAGUGGCUGUAUCAAUUUACAGUCCCCCCAGGAGUGUUCCAGUUUUUCCACAUCCUGACCAAAAUUUGUUAAUUUUUCCCUUUUUGAUAAUAGCCACCCUAUUAGGUAUGAGGAGAUACCUCAUUAUGGUUUCAAUUUCCAUUUCUCUGAUUACUAGUGAUCUUGAGUACCUUUCCUCUUGGCCAUUUGUAUGCUUCUUCUUCUUUAUUUAUCCAUUCAUUCAUUUUUAACAACUGAAGUAUAGUUGAUUUACAAUGUUGUAUUAAUUUCAAUUGUACCCCAAAAUGAUUUAGCCAUAUAUAUGUAUGUGUGUGUGUAUAUACAUUUUUGAUUCUUUCCAUUAUACAUUUUUAUAAGAUACUGAAUAUAGUUCCCUGUGUUAUACAGUAGGUCCUUGUUGUUUAUCUGUUUUAUAUACAGUAGUGUGUAUCUAUUAAUCCUAAACUUCUAAUUUAUCCUUCUCUCCUUUGCUUUCCCUUUUGGUAGCCGUAGUUUGUUUUCUGUAUCUGUGACUCUAUUUCUGUUUUGUAAAUAAGUUCAUUUGUAUCACUUUUUUUUAGAUUCCACUUUGCCCAUUUCAAAGUUGGAUUUUUUGUUGUUGUUGUUGUUUUUUCUAUUGAGUUGAAUGAGUUUCUUACAUAUUUUGGCUAUUAGCCCUCUACUGAAUAUAUAGUUUGCAAAUAUUUUCUUCCAUUCCACAGGUUGCCUCUUCAUUGUGCUGAUAGUUUACUUUGCUGUGCAGAACAAUUGUUUUUUUGGUGUCAUAUUCAAAAAAUCAAUGCCAAUAUGAGUCAGGAAGCUUUUCCUCUGUGACUUCUAGGAAUUUUUCAGUUUUAAUUCAUAUGUUUAAGUCUUUACUUUGAAUUAAUUUUUGUGUAUAUUGUAAGAUAAAGGUUCGGUUUCAUUCUUUUGCAUGUGGAUAUCCAGUUUUCCUAACACCAUUUACUGAAGAGACUCUCCUUUUCCCAUUGACACAACUAACAGAAUGAUAUUCAUUGUUCAUGGCUUGGAAGAAUUAAUAUUAUUAAAAUAUCCAUAUGAUGCAAUGCUAUUUGCAGAUUCAAUAAAUUUCCUAUCAAAAUUCCAGUGGCAGUUUUCAUAGAAACAGAAAAGUAAUCCUAAAAUUUGAGUGGUGAUGAGGUACUCUAAAUAGUAUGGAAUAACAUCAAUAAGGAGACGGAGGUAGAAAAUUACAUUUAGUCAGUUUGGUUAAAUUAUAAAGGCUAAACUCAGCUACAUUUGGAAUCAUAAGAAUUUUUUGAAAAUGCUGCUUCUAGGGCUCUCUCCCUGAAAUUCUGAUACAGUUGUUCUAAAGGACAGCGUGGGUAUCAGGAUUUUCCAUAGUUCCCCAGAUACAUAAAAUGUGCGACCAAGAUAGAAAACUAUCAUUCUAGAUUAUAUAAAACUAAUUGAAAAAAAUUUUAAAUUAUAAGUUUGGAUCACAUGCUGAAAGAGAUUACAUAGAAGACUCUGAAAAUUGGGCUUUAUGAAUGGGAGAGUUUAUUAAGUAUUCUUUAAUCAAAUGGGUUUGGUUUCAAUCUUGGCUCUGCCAUGUGUUGUGAGCCCUUGGGUUUCUGAUUCUGCCUAGAGGGCAAGAUUUCCUCAGUGCCUAAAUCAAAACUUUAAUAAUAAAUGUUGCCCCUCAUGUAUAUACAAAAGUGAUCCUUCUGAGCCUUUAAUCAUGGAACCUGAACUCUGAGUUUGUUUUCUCAGUAUUGCAAUUCCUAAAUUUGUGCUGUUCUAGCUUACAUUCCUUGCUUGGUAGCCUUAUGACCAUCAUACAUUGGUAUGAGAUAGUUACCUGGGCUUCGAGGUGUCCUGAGUAGUUGUCAUGGGUACAGGUAUCUAGGCUGUAUUGAGGAGAGUCUACACUGAUGAACUACCACCUAAACUAAUCAUAUAAAGCUAUAUUGCCCUGUGUUAGGGAAGGACAGUGGCAGUAUUCGACUAAUAAAGCAUGAACAUACCCAUACUCAAUAUAGGUAAAGACCCUACAUUAUAAUACAUAACUUUAACUUUGUGUUUAAACCGAUAUUAUUAGUUAGACUCAAGUAGAAGAGACCAGGAUAAUGUAUGUAAAAUAAUGAAAUCAUAUGAUGCAUACUCAAAUGGCAUGAAGAGAGAUUCUAAUAACACUGGCCACAGUUGCUAAAAAAAAUGAGAAGAGAUGAGGGUUGGUGUCAGUGAAGGAAGUUUCACAAAGGCAGUACAACCCGAAGACCCAGUGUGAAGAUAAAAUUUAUUCAAAUGUAAGGGGGUUAGAAGAGUUAAUAUAUUUUACUGUGGAAACAACUGUUCUAUUUUUCUUCUUAUUUGCUUCCUUAAAAGGAUCCAGCCCAUUCUAGAAGAAUGUGCUUCACUGCACAUACCCCACCAACAGGGACAGAAUGCAAAUAUCUUCCCUUACCUCAGGGGAGUGUUUGAAAACACUCUCUUGGAAAGGCAACCAAUUUAUUUGGUUGCUAAUUAUUUUGGCUCUGGUUUUAAUAAGCCUUCUACUGUAAAAGAUAAAGAGAAUAGUAAGGCUUUUUACCCCUCCUUUUUUGGUAAAGUGAUUUAAAGGCUGUGGACAAGUACCAUGUAGUAGUUAAGAUCAUGGAUUGUGGUGCCAAAUUAUUUGUGUUUGUAUCCCUGCUUAUCGUGUGACCUUGAGAAAAUUUAUUAUGCAUAUUCUCUCUGUGCCCUAGAGUCCUCAUCCAUAAAACGAGAAUAAUAAUAGUACCUUUUCUUAAAUGGUCGUAACGAGGUUACUAUUAUUGUUGUUGUUAUUAUUUGUUGUCAUAUUAUGUUUGGCCUGGAUCCCUGAGAAUGGAUGGGGAGUGGAUGGUAUAGACAGAUGGGAUCACAGUCUUCUAAAUGAUUCCUGGGUAAUUGCCUAGGAAAUUGUGUGUAUGUAUGCAUGUGUGAAUGUGUGCAUACAUGUGUGUGCUGGGGAAGGAGAGCUGGAAAUGAGGCAAAGUCCUGCCUGGAUAGUCUUUUGAGCACGCUAGAGAAGGACUCUAUCAAGAACACUGUUUUGGUACCCAAGCAAUUGGAUUUCUCCCCUGCACCCAGCUGCCUUGUCUGUGUCUAAUGAAGAAUCUACUCUGCCUGUACCCAGGACCCAGCCAGUUGAUUCUGCAACCACUGAGAGAAGAAAUGGUACACAUCUGCUAUUUUUAAAGGUGUUUUCUCUACCAGUUGGGGGUGCAGCAGAAGUAUAGGCCAUUGGUAGCACAGGAAUUUGGUUUGUCUCCAAAUUAGUGUGGACAGCUAUCAAGUCUGCAAACCACACACAAAAUCCCCUAUAACACCUUCUCUAAAAGGGGAGCCUGGGCACUACAGAGUCAGUAUUGGGGUAAUUCCUCUAAACCUGUAUAUCUGGGGUCCCUGAAUCAGAUGUCUAAGUCUGAGACCCCCAACCUAGAAUAUUAUUUAAUGCCAUCUCCUGUUACGAAGGGCUGAGACUUAAAAUCAUAGAAGGACCCCUUUUUAAAGAACUGCUUGUUCUGUGGAAGGAGCCCCUCAGACAAGUGCUCUGGGGCAGUGCCACCCAGUGUGAUCCUUGACCACAGCAUUAGUGCCACUUGGGAGCUCAUGAGACAAGCAGAAUCUCAGGUUCCCUUCCAGAUCUGCUGGAUCAGAACCUCCCUCAACAAGGUCCCAGGAGACUUAGGUGUGCAUUAGAGUUUGAGCAGCUCUGGUGCCGUGGACUUAAAUGAGUCACACACCUUCUCUGGGUCCCUUGAGUCACAAAACACUGUGAAAGACUUUGGUUUAUCAUCUCCCAAAGUUCAAGAAAGUUCAAAGUUUCCUGGGAAAGCAGAGGUAAUGUUAAUAAGCAUGGCAAGUACAGCUAAACCUCUUCUUUGAAUUAGCCACUGAAGAAAUAUCCAAAAAAAUUCAUGCAAUUCUUCAUUUGGGUGCUUUUUAACCCUCAGAGCUCUUGAAGGGAGAAGUGCCUCUGGAAUGCAGCAUUGCCCUUAGAUCCUUCAGACACGGAGAUCAAAGGUGAGAGUCAUCAAAGUGUUUGUGGGCUCAAAAGCAAAAAGACAUCAGUUCUGAAAUACAAGAGUUGUGCUGAGGUGGUUUUUGUCCCUUUGUGUGUCCUUAUGAGGAAGAGUGCUUCUUGAGCCUUUGAACCCUAGAGUCCUGCCAGUUUGAGUGGAAGAGGUGGCAUUUUCCUUUAAGCUGCAGGUUGCCUUCUGUUCAGAUCCUCAAGCAUCAAGGUCAGGUCCCGUUCAGAAUAACUGAAUGUUAAUUGACUUGCUGGGAAUUAACGUGCAUUAUCUUGUUUAUACCAGUGUUCUGCUGGCAGUUUGUAAAUCAUUCUCUGGAGGGCUCUGACAUGGAUUUGAAGUUUAUUUCUGUUUUAUAGGAAUAGGGUUAAUCUCUAGCGAUGCUAGAGGGUUAGAGAAAUUAGAUAGGAUGAGGCGGUGGGGGCAGGGGACCUCUCCUUUGCACACUCCUGUAUCAUGAAUGAUCACCACAAUUGGCAGGGAUUGUGGAGACUAUGUUUACCUCCAGGUAAGAAGCAGACUGGCUCUAUAAUUAGGUUAACACUUUCCUGGGAGACUUUAUUUUGCUCUUUACCUUUUCCAAAUGGAUAUAGGCUCUUGCUUGCUUGAGCUUUCCCUUGGCAGCUAACCAACACACACAAUACACACGCACACACGCAUGCGUGCAGAGGCACAGACUGGCUGGCACACUCGUAAAGACCAUGCAAGGUGACCCCAGUGAUUUGUAUGGCUACCCCUUGCCAUGGUCCAUUUCUCAAUGAGUUGGGCAGUCUUCCAAAUACUCAGCAGCUCUCUAUGCAGUAAUCACUUUGACUUCAUUGAAACCCCAAGCAAGAGGUGUACAGUUCCCCUACAUAAUGCUCUAUUUUUGGUUUACAUUAACUGUAAUCCCACUGUUGCUUAUUUCUCUUGCUGCCAACCAAGUAAUUUUGGGGAAGUCACUGGGCUUCAGUUUCCUUAUGUAUACAAUUAAGUAACUUACCUUUUAGCUACAGCCUUGGUUUUAUGCCUUUUUCCUUGGUUUCAGGGAAUAAAACGGUUGCCAGCUCCCAGGCUACUCAUCUUAGACCUGAAGCCUGGAACUGCAGUGCUGUAUUGAAAACUGUAGUGGCCUUAGAGGGUUAGUUUAGAAUUCUGGAUCUGCCUCUGUCUUACUGUUCAUCUGACCUUAGGCAAAUCUCUUGGAUCUUCAAUUUCGUCAUCAGAAAAAUGGGGAUGAAUAUUCUGUCUUUCUUACCCUGCGGGGCUAUGAUGAGAGUGUGCUGAUCAGUACGGAGGCUGAUAAAUUGCUAGGUUUUUCUGAUCUGUCCUUUUAGUGAGGGAGGUGCCAUCAAACUGGUCCUAGUCCCUGAGUGUUCUGAGUUAGCCACCCUUGCAGGGCAGAAUUCUAUAGGGAUACCAUUCCUGGGCGACCCUCAGUACCAUCCAAGCAGUUUUUAGGGGAAAGAGUCAGACAUAUAAAAUGGACGUGAAGGCAGUUUUGAGAACCAGUGAUGUGAAGGCAAGGAAAUCUUACCAUUCUCUUGAUCUUCAAUCCUGAUCAUCGCUGUAUAUGCAAGGAUGUCCCUUCUCAUAUUUAAUGCCUGAGGUACAGUGCAGACAAGGAUGGAGUCUGUAGGGGACUGUCCUGCUGUCGUCUUAUUAAGCUUGACAAAUGUAGCUUCUAGUCUUGAUUCUUAAUUUUCUUGCCGAUAUGAUAAAUAGAAAUCAUCUGUGACACAACUGUUGGAAAUGAACUUCCUAAGAGCUAUACAUCUUUUGGGAACUCUUUCAACUUGAACUAUAUUUAGCCUCUCUAAGCCCUCUUUAAAGCACUAACUGGGGCACUGCAAUAUUAGGGGUUGAUAAAGGAAGAGGAGGUAGAGAGGAACAGCAUCAAUCUGUUUCUACUUAGACCAUUUUGCUACCUGUUAGAGUUGGUUUUGGAACUGACACCAGUUAGUUAAAUUCUGUGCCUAAGGAAUAGCUUUGGGAUGAGAACCUGGAGUUUAUGCAUAUGGCUUCACAAGCCACAAAGUCUUAGGCUUAGUCCUUCCCUUCACUCUUCCUCUGAUCCAGAUACACCUGUCUGGAAAUGAACUCGGCAACAUAGUUCAGAGCCUCGGUCCCAGGCUGGUACUAUUAAGGACUUUGGAGGAGGGGGAGGGAUAGAGAGAAAAAAUAACCCUAUCCAGAACUAUGAUUCAAAAUUAAAGAGGCAAAACAAAAUUCUCAGGAGGUGAGUGUUUUAUUUGUCUUAAUUCGUUUCACUUUAAUUUGUCAGUGAAAUGAGAUAAGAACAUCUGUUUCCUGCUCAAUAGGAGCCAUGUUCUUUCAGGUAAGAAUGAUAAUGUGGGGGGAAUACAUUUCUGCAGACUUGCCCUAAUCUAUUUCUGGGGUAAUGGACUUGCACAGUGGCCUCAAGUGCAGCUGUUAAUAGCUUCUUACAUCUUCCAGCAGAAAAGCACUAGAGCUGUUUUCAGAUAUAUGUUCACUUUGAGGAAAAGAACAACAGACCUUCUGU
This 6608-nucleotide long non-coding RNA is filed under the name Sus scrofa (pig). RNAcentral describes it as "lncRNA (ENSSSCG00050006106.1)". The record is from RNAcentral. Lineage: Eukaryota; Metazoa; Chordata; Mammalia; Artiodactyla; Suidae.